CAGUAGCCGCGGUAAUACGAAGGUCCCGAGCGUUGUUCGGAAUCACUGGGCGUAAAGGGAGCGUAGGCGGCGUGGUAAGUCAGAUGUGAAAUCCCGGGACUCAACCCCGGAACUGCAUCCGAUACUGCCAUGCUAGAGGAUUGGAGAGGUAGCUGGAAUUCUUGGUGUAGCAGUGAAAUGCGUGGAGAUCAAGAGGAACACUCGUGGCGAAAGCGAGCUACUGGACAAUAACUGACGCUGAGGCUCGAAGGCCAGGGUAGCGAAAGGGAUUAGAUACCCGAGUAGUCCCUGUCUCUUAUAA
This 301-nucleotide ribosomal RNA is filed under the name uncultured bacterium. RNAcentral describes it as "partial 16S ribosomal RNA". It matches the Rfam family "Bacterial small subunit ribosomal RNA", at positions 509 to 809 of the family's 1533-position model. The record is from RNAcentral.